This 424-nucleotide ribosomal RNA is filed under the name Verrucomicrobiota bacterium. RNAcentral describes it as "Verrucomicrobia bacterium partial 16S ribosomal RNA". It matches the Rfam family "Bacterial small subunit ribosomal RNA", at positions 355 to 776 of the family's 1533-position model. The record is from RNAcentral. Lineage: Bacteria; Pseudomonadati; Verrucomicrobiota.
UGAGGAAUAUUGGUCAAUGGGCGAGAGCCUGAACCAGCCAAGUAGCGUGCAGGAUGACGGCCCUAUGGGUUGUAAACUGCUUUUAUAUGGGAAUAAAGUGAGGGACGUGUCCCUUAUUGCAUGUACCAUACGAAUAAGGACCGGCUAAUUCCGUGCCAGCAGCCGCGGUAAUACGGAAGGUCCAGGCGUUAUCCGGAUUUAUUGGGUUUAAAGGGAGCGUAGGCUGAUUGUUAAGCGUGUUGUGAAAUGUAGGAGCUCAACUUUUAGAUUGCAGCGCGAACUGGCAGACUUGAGUGCGCACAACGUAGGCGGAAUUCAUGGUGUAGCGGUGAAAUGCUUAGAUAUCAUGACGAACUCCGAUUGCGAAGGCAGCUUACGGGAGCGCAACUGACGCUAAAGCUCGAAGGUGCGGGUAUCGAACAGG